Molecule: ribosomal RNA, 253 nt
Filed under: uncultured bacterium
Lineage: Bacteria
Description: partial 16S ribosomal RNA
Rfam family: Bacterial small subunit ribosomal RNA
Source: RNAcentral
UACGUAGGGUGCAAGCGUUGUCCGGAAUUAUUGGGCGUAAAGAGCUUGUAGGCGGUUUGUCGCGUCUGCUGUGAAAUUUCGGGGCUCAACCCCGAACUUGCAGUGGGUACGGGCAGACUAGAGUGUGGUAGGGGAGACUGGAAUUCCUGGUGUAGCGGUGAAAUGCGCAGAUAUCAGGAGGAACACCUAUGGCGAAAGCGGCUCUCUGGAACGGUACUGACGCUGAGACGCGAAAGCGUGGGGAGCGAACAGG